GAUGAACGCUGGCGGCGUGCCUAAUACAUGCAAGUCGAGCGAACGGACGAGAAGCUUGCUUCUCUGAUGUUAGCGGCGGACGGGUGAGUAACACGUGGAUAACCUACCUAUAAGACUGGGAUAACUUCGGGAAACCGGAGCUAAUACCGUAUGAUAUUUUGAUCCGCAUGGUUCAAAAGUGAAAGACGGUCUUGCUGUCACUUAUAGAUGGAUCCGCGCUGCAUUGGCUAGUUGGUAAGGUAACGGCUUACCAAGGCAACGAUGCAUAGCCGACCUGAUAGGGUGAUCGGCCACCCUGGAACGGAGACACGGUCCAGACUCCUACGGGAGGCAGCAGUAGGGAAUCGUCCGCAAUGGGCGAAAGCCUGACGGAGCAACGCCGCGUGAGUGAUGAAGGUCUUCGGAUCGUAAAACUCUGUUAUUAGGGAAGAACAUAUGUGUAAGUAACUGUGCACAUCUUGACGGUAACUAAUCAGAAAGCCACGGCUAACUACGUG
This 497-nucleotide ribosomal RNA is filed under the name uncultured bacterium. RNAcentral's name for it is "partial 16S ribosomal RNA". It matches the Rfam family "Bacterial small subunit ribosomal RNA", at positions 28 to 507 of the family's 1533-position model. The record is from RNAcentral.